Molecule: ribosomal RNA, 454 nt
Filed under: uncultured Sphingobacteriales bacterium
Lineage: Bacteria; Pseudomonadati; Bacteroidota; Sphingobacteriia; Sphingobacteriales
Description: bacterial SSU rRNA
Rfam family: Bacterial small subunit ribosomal RNA
Source: RNAcentral
ACAAGCGGAGGAGCAUGUGGUUAAUUCGAUGAUACGCGAGGAACCUUACCUGGGCUCGAACGUAAGAUGACUGUAGGUGAAAGCUUACAUCUCUUCGGAGCAUUUUACGAGGUGCUGCAUGGUUGUCGUCAGCUCGUGCCGUGAGGUGUCGGGUUAAGUCCCAUAACGAGCGCAACCCUACCUUUAGUUGCCAUCAGGUAAUGCUGGGGACUCUAAAGGAACUGCCUACGCAAGUAGUGAGGAAGCGGGGAUGACGUCAAAUCAGCACGGCCCUUACGUCCAGGGCUACACACGUGCUACAAUGGCCGAUACAGAGGGCAGCUACCUGGUGACAGGAUGCAAAUCUCCAAAGUCGGUCUCAGUUCGGAUCGGAGUCUGCAACCCGACUCCGUGAAGUUGGAUUCGCUAGUAAUCGCGCAUCAGCCAUGGCGCGGUGAAUACGUUCCCGGGCCUU